GCGUGCGCGGACCGACACUGUCAGCUCCUAACGCCGCAGGUUCCUCCUGGUCCCCGAGGCCCCCGGUCGGGCGUUGCCUGCCCCGCGCGGGCGGCCGGGCCGAGGGACGAUGGUCAGUGGACGGACGGCGCCAGGGAGCAGUGCCCACGCGCGGCAGGGCGGUACCUUCAGGCCUCCAGGUGUCAUCGAACACCCUUGUGCUUGCUGUCACCCGCUGCCUGUCUGCAGGAUCCCGGAUUCCGUAUCAGGGGACCGAAAUUAGUCGGAAAAUAGGAAGCAGGUGCUCGCUUGGAUGGAACCCUGACCCUGUGCUCACACUUGUAGGAGGAGGGCUCUGCAGGCCGCCUCCCGGAACGGGAGGUUCCCAAGCCACUGCACUUCGGAGGGGCUGUAAUUAGAGUUGCACAUUCAUUCAGUUCCCAGUAAAGUAGAACGUGCUCCAGCCAGUGAGGAAAAGGUGUUUUUAAAAAUUAGAUUGGCCGAGUGCGGUGGCUCAUGCCUUUUACCUCAACACUUUGGGAGACAAAGGUGGGAGGAUCACCUGUGGCCAGGAGUUCAAGACCAGCCUGGGCAACAGAGCCUGUCUCUGGGGAAGAAUAAAAAAAAAAAUUGAGCCUUUGU
RNAcentral lists this long non-coding RNA (621 nucleotides) under Homo sapiens (human). Lineage: Eukaryota; Metazoa; Chordata; Mammalia; Primates; Hominidae. The record is from RNAcentral.